UUCUUAUUGAAUGAUAAUUGUUACAUGUCAUGUUCUGAUUGGAUGUCAACUCUAUGAAAGAUGAAAUGCAUUGUUGUUUUCAUUAACCAAUCAGAACAUGACACGUGAUUGUUAUCAUCU
This is a non-coding RNA of Glycine soja, 120 nucleotides long. NCBI's taxonomy places the organism in Eukaryota, Viridiplantae, Streptophyta, Magnoliopsida, Fabales, Fabaceae. The record is from Rfam.